CCCUUAGAUGUUCUGGGCCGCACGCGCGCUACACUGACGGAUUCAACGAGCUUACAACCUUGGCCGAAAGGUCUGGGUAAUCUCCAAAAUCCGUCGUGAUGGGGAUAGAUUAUUGCAAUUAUUAAUCUUCAACGAGGAAUGCCUAGUAAGCGCAAGUCAACAGCUUGCGUUGAUUACGUCCCUGCCCUUUGUACACACCGCCCGUCGCCACUACUGAUUGGAUGUUUAAGCGAGGUUCUCGAACUGCUAGCGACUUAGCUUCGGUGAGGUCGCAGUGUGGGAAGUGAACCUAGCUUUGGUGUCUAGAGGAAGUAAAAGUCGUAACA
Molecule: ribosomal RNA, 326 nt
Filed under: uncultured eukaryote
Lineage: Eukaryota
Description: partial 18S ribosomal RNA
Rfam family: Eukaryotic small subunit ribosomal RNA
Source: RNAcentral